UACGGAGGGUGCAAGCGUUAUCCGGAUUUACUGGGUUUAAAGGGUGUGUAGGCGGACUUUUAAGUCAGCGGUGAAAUCCUGGGGCUCAACCCCAGAACUGCCAUUGAUACUAUUGGUCUUGAAUGUUGUUGAGGUGGGCGGAAUACAUCAUGUAGCGGUGAAAUGCUUAGAGAUGAUGUAGAACACCGAUUGCGAAGGCAGCUCACUAAGCAACGAUUGACGCUGAGGCACGAAAGCGUGGGGAUCAAACAGG
RNAcentral lists this ribosomal RNA (253 nucleotides) under uncultured bacterium. Its description in RNAcentral is "partial 16S ribosomal RNA". It matches the Rfam family "Bacterial small subunit ribosomal RNA", at positions 524 to 776 of the family's 1533-position model. The record is from RNAcentral.